GCACUGCUGACGAGUCGCAUACUAGGAUGAAACGGCCGUCCAGUGC
Schistosoma margrebowiei is the source of this 46-nucleotide non-coding RNA. The record is from Rfam. NCBI's taxonomy places the organism in Eukaryota, Metazoa, Platyhelminthes, Trematoda, Strigeidida, Schistosomatidae.